UACAGUCCGAACACGGGCCAAAUGCGCGCAGCACUUGUCUUUUCCUGCUUGUGCAGCCAUAUAGCACGUGCGACUGUUACCGCACCUCGACCAACUGUCUCCAGUUUCGGCUUCAGUCUCGAUUGCUCUGACUGACGCCAAGGCCACCGCACCACGCAGGUGGCACUAUUCAAAGGAGACCACGGAAUGGCCAAUGGCACCGUGAAAUGGUUCAACACCACCAAAGGUUUCGGCUUUAUUGCCCCAGAAGAUGGCGGCAAGGAUGUAUUCGUACACAUCUCGGCCGUCGAACGUGCAGGUCUGACCGGCCUGGCUGACGAUCAAAAAGUGACGUUCGACAUCGAAGACGGUCGUGACGGCCGCAGCAGCGCGACAAACAUCGCACUUGCCUAAGUGAGAGAUCAUGGGACGGCCUUUGGGGCCGUUCCCACCU
This 433-nucleotide unclassified non-coding RNA is filed under the name Falsiruegeria mediterranea M17. Its description in RNAcentral is "Ruegeria mediterranea M17 cspA". Lineage: Bacteria; Pseudomonadati; Pseudomonadota; Alphaproteobacteria; Rhodobacterales; Roseobacteraceae. The record is from RNAcentral.